CUCUCCAAGGAGGUCCACGUUGAAGUGGCGUCGCUGGAGACGUCGCAUGCGAUCUGGACCGCCCUGUCCAACAUGUUCGCGGCGGUCUCGCUUUCUCGAGUCAGCAACCUGCGUGCUGCCCUCACCAACACCCAGAAGGGCACGCAAUCUGCAUCAACCUACUUCGGCUACAUGCGGUCUCUCCCCGACGAGAUCGCGGCGGCAGGAAAACUGAUCGGGGAGUCGGAGCUCAUCUCCUUCAUUGUAUCCGGCCUUGACAUGGAAUAUCAGCCGCUCAUCUCAGAGCUGGACGUCCGCACCGAGCCCAUAACGGUCAACCAUCUCUUCUCCCUUGUGGCCAACUUCGAUCAGAAGGUCAAGUUGUACCACGGUAAUGGCAACGGUGGCUUCAAAUCCUCGGCAAACGCCGCUUCCCGCGGUCGCCAGGGAGGCAGAGGGGGCUACCGCAAUCAAUGA
Molecule: ribosomal RNA, 456 nt
Filed under: Triticum aestivum (bread wheat)
Lineage: Eukaryota; Viridiplantae; Streptophyta; Magnoliopsida; Poales; Poaceae
Description: partial small subunit ribosomal RNA
Source: RNAcentral